UGAUGGGUUUAUCUGGGGUUUCCACAUUUGCUUCUUCCUCAUUUUCUCUUGCUGCCACCAUGUAAGAAGUGCCUUUCACCUCCUGCCAUGAUUCUGAGGCCUCCCCAGCCAUGUAGAACUGUAAGUCCAAUUAAAUCUCUUUUUCUUCCCAGUCUAAGGUAUGUCUUUAUCAGCAGCGUUAAAAUGGACUAAUACAUUUGCCUAAGCGGAAACUCGGGUUCUACUUUUUAUACAGAGCUUAAUAGUUUAUAAUGAACAUUAUAGUAGUAGUUGUGCAUCAAAACCUAUAAGGUGGGCAAAACAGGUAAUACUUCUCCCAUUUUACAG
RNAcentral lists this long non-coding RNA (327 nucleotides) under Homo sapiens (human). Its description in RNAcentral is "HSALNT0059420". Lineage: Eukaryota; Metazoa; Chordata; Mammalia; Primates; Hominidae. The record is from RNAcentral.